GAUGAACGCUGGCGGCGUGCCUAAUACAUGCAAGUCGAGCGAACAGAUGAGAAGCUUGCUUCUCUGAUGUUAGCGGCGGACGGGUGAGUAACACGUGGGUAACCUACCUAUAAGACUGGGAUAACUCCGGGAAACCGGGGCUAAUACCGGAUAAUAUUUUGAACCGCAUGGUUCAAUAGUGAAAGACGGUUUCGGCUGUCACUUAUAGAUGGACCCGCGCCGUAUUAGCUAGUUGGUAAGGUAACGUCUUACCAAGGCGACGAUACGUAGCCGACCUUGAGGGGUGAUCGGCCACACUGGAACUGAGACAGGGUCCAGACGCCUACGGGAGGCAGCAGUAGGGAAUCUUCCGCAAUGGGCGAAAGCCUGACGGAGCAACGCCGCGUGAGUGAUGAAAGUCUUCGGAUCGUAAAACUCUGUUGUUAGGGAAGAACAAAUUUGUUAGUAACUGAACAAGUCUUGACGGUACCUAACCAGAAAGCCACGGCUAACUACGUGCCAGCCGCCGCCGUAA
This 514-nucleotide ribosomal RNA is filed under the name uncultured bacterium. Its description in RNAcentral is "partial 16S ribosomal RNA". It matches the Rfam family "Bacterial small subunit ribosomal RNA", at positions 28 to 523 of the family's 1533-position model. The record is from RNAcentral.